Long non-coding RNA from Ahaetulla prasina, 278 nucleotides. RefSeq lists it as uncharacterized. The transcript has 2 exons. NCBI's taxonomy places the organism in Eukaryota, Metazoa, Chordata, Lepidosauria, Squamata, Colubridae. The record is from RefSeq and is a predicted model, not a curated record.
GCAUCCAGGGGCGACUCUUCUUGCAAAAGUGGUCUUGCUAGCCUGUGAAAGCCAGGAAGUGUCUGGACGUGCCAUCUACUAUUUUCUGAUAGCACCUCUCGCAAACCACGGGCAUUGACAAAAUCCCCAUCGGUCAAUUGCAAGAGGCAGUUUCACUGGGAACAACUUACAUCCUGCGAUGAGACCUUUCACAUCAUUAAACAACAGCAUCUGCCUAUCCCAGCUCUUUGGGAAGGACUCGGUAGACGAAUAAAAGGGUCAAAUUCGGCCUAAACAUC